CCCUAGCCCGGAUGGGAGUGGCAUCCUCUUGGGGCGGGGUUCGACCCAAGAGAUACAACGGACAGCCGGAAAUAGC
Molecule: small RNA, 76 nt
Filed under: Flavobacterium sp. 9R
Lineage: Bacteria; Pseudomonadati; Bacteroidota; Flavobacteriia; Flavobacteriales; Flavobacteriaceae
Description: Flavo-1
Rfam family: Flavo-1 RNA
Source: RNAcentral